Molecule: ribosomal RNA, 506 nt
Filed under: Alternaria sp. N9
Lineage: Eukaryota; Fungi; Ascomycota; Dothideomycetes; Pleosporales; Pleosporaceae
Description: SSU rRNA
Rfam family: Eukaryotic small subunit ribosomal RNA
Source: RNAcentral
UAAGCAAUUAUACCGUGAAACUGCGAAUGGCUCAUUAAAUCAGUUAUCGUUUAUUUGAUAAUACCUUACUACUUGGAUAACCGUGGUAAUUCUAGAGCUAAUACAUGCUGAAAAUCCCGACUUCGGAAGGGAUGUGUUUAUUAGAUAAAAAACCAAUGCCCUUCGGGGCUUUUUGGUGAUUCAUGAUAACUUUACGGAUCGCAUAGCCUUGCGCUGGCGACGGUUCAUUCAAAUUUCUGCCCUAUCAACUUUCGAUGGUAAGGUAUUGGCUUACCAUGGUUUCAACGGGUAACGGGGAAUUAGGGUUCGAUUCCGGAGAGGGAGCCUGAGAAACGGCUACCACAUCCAAGGAAGGCAGCAGGCGCGCAAAUUACCCAAUCCCGACACGGGGAGGUAGUGACAAUAAAUACUGAUACAGGGCUCUUUUGGGUCUUGUAAUUGGAAUGAGUACAAUUUAAACCUCUUAACGAGGAACAAUUGGAGGGCAAGUCUGGUGACAGCAGCCA